This 353-nucleotide ribosomal RNA is filed under the name uncultured bacterium. RNAcentral's name for it is "bacterial SSU rRNA". It matches the Rfam family "Bacterial small subunit ribosomal RNA", at positions 143 to 507 of the family's 1533-position model. The record is from RNAcentral.
AUAACAGUCCGAAAGGAUUGCUAAUACCUCAUGUGGUUAUCGGUUUUAGAAAGCGAUAACUAAAGCAGCAAUGCGUCGUUUGGGGAGGGAUCUGCGUCCCAUCAGCUAGUUGGUGAGGUAACGGCUCACCAAGGCGACGACGGGUAGGGGACCUGAGGAGGGUCGGCCCCCCACAAUGGAACUGAAACACGGUCCAUACACCUACGGGUGGCAGCAGUAGGGAAUAUUGCUCAAUGGGCGAAAGCCUGAAGCAGCAACGCCGCGUGUGCGAUGAAGGCCUUCGGGUCGUAAAGCACUUUUCUAAGAGAUGAGAAAGGACAGUAUCUUAGGAAUAAGUCUCGGCUAACUACGUG